RNAcentral lists this long non-coding RNA (447 nucleotides) under Homo sapiens (human). Its description in RNAcentral is "HSALNT0130519". Lineage: Eukaryota; Metazoa; Chordata; Mammalia; Primates; Hominidae. The record is from RNAcentral.
UCUACAUCCACACAUGCUCUUUAAGUUUUUGCUGACAGACAUUAGCCAGUUGGAAAUGAUUUUGGUGUGUGAGUCUUUGCCUCCCAGCAACUGGUGCCCAGGCUCAACUGAGAUCUUACUCUCACUAAACAGGAUCCUGUCUUCCACCAAGACUUACACAAUUGUGAAUUCCCCAAAUGAAGAGGGUUGAGAUGUGCAAGAAAAAAAGAGUUCUCCCCAGACCUGUGGACAAUGACAGCCUUCUAGAAACUGGGUUUCUCUACAGCUUCUGGUGUCAGCUGCCCCUUGAACAACAUGGGUUUGAACUACGCAGACCCACUUAUAAGUGAAUUUCCUUCUCCUCUGCGACCUGAGACAGCAAGAACAACCCCUCAUCCUCCUCCUCAGCCUACUCAAUCUGAAGCUAAUGAUGAGGAUGAUGACCUUUACUAUGACUCACUUCCACUU